GAUCAUGGCUCAGAGUGAACGCUGGCGGCGUGCUUAACACAUGCAAGUCGAACGAGAACGGGUUAUAGCUUGCUAUAAUUGUCAGCUAAGUGGCGCACGGGUGAGUAAUGUAUAGGUAAUAUGCCUCUUACUAAGGGAUAACAAAUGGAAACGUUUGCUAAUACCUUAUACUCCUUAUUAACAGAAGUUAAUAAGGGAAAGAUUUAUUGGUAAGAGAUUAGCCUGUAUUGUAUCAGUUAGUUGGUGGGGUAAUGGCUUACCAAGACUAUGACACAUAACUGGUUUGAGAGGAUGAUCAGUCACACUGGAACUGAGACACGGUCCAGACUCCUACGGGAGGCAGCAGUGGGGAAUAUUGCACAAUGGACGAAAGUCUGAUGCAGCAACGCCGCGUGGAGGAUGACACAUUUCGGUGCGCAAACUCCUUUUAUAUGAGAAGAUAAUGACGGUAUUAUAUGAAUAAGCACCGGCUAACUCCGUG
Molecule: ribosomal RNA, 481 nt
Filed under: uncultured bacterium
Lineage: Bacteria
Description: bacterial SSU rRNA
Rfam family: Bacterial small subunit ribosomal RNA
Source: RNAcentral